This 88-nucleotide transfer RNA is filed under the name Lentisphaerota bacterium. Its description in RNAcentral is "Lentisphaerae bacterium (anaerobic digester metagenome) tRNA-Ser". It matches the Rfam family "tRNA". From Rfam's summary of the family: Transfer RNA (tRNA) molecules are approximately 80 nucleotides in length. Lineage: Bacteria; Pseudomonadati; Lentisphaerota. RNAcentral also lists the same sequence under 5 other names. The record is from RNAcentral.
GGAGAGAUGGUCGAGUGGUUUAAGGCGCCGGUCUUGAAAACCGGAGAGGUGCAAGCCUCCGGGGGUUCGAAUCCCUCUCUCUCCGCCA